This 252-nucleotide unclassified non-coding RNA is filed under the name Hevea brasiliensis (rubber tree). The record is from RNAcentral. Lineage: Eukaryota; Viridiplantae; Streptophyta; Magnoliopsida; Malpighiales; Euphorbiaceae.
GGAAAAUACCUUGCUGAAUUUGAAUGAUGAGAGAGCGUCCUAAUGGAUUAUUUUAGCUCAAUCAUAGAUAUUCUGUCACUACAAGACCUACCUACCCACAUAAACAACCAAGAUUAACAAAAACAACGCAACAAAUCAAGAGAACUCGUAAAGAAUUCAAAUGGUUAUUCAGCUGGAAAACAAAGUUCCACUUCCGUUGUCUUGAGAAGCCAGACAUCACUUCUGGAAUUUUGUCUCUCUCUCUCUCUCUCU